This is a non-coding RNA of Dipodomys ordii (Ord's kangaroo rat), 70 nucleotides long. NCBI's taxonomy places the organism in Eukaryota, Metazoa, Chordata, Mammalia, Rodentia, Heteromyidae. The record is from Rfam.
GGGAAGUUGGCUCAGUGGUAGAGUGCUUGCCUUGCAUGCAUGAGGCCCUGGGUUCGAUUCCUCAGUACCA